RNAcentral lists this ribosomal RNA (684 nucleotides) under Escherichia sp. GXS2. RNAcentral's name for it is "bacterial SSU rRNA". It matches the Rfam family "Bacterial small subunit ribosomal RNA", at positions 795 to 1479 of the family's 1533-position model. The record is from RNAcentral. Lineage: Bacteria; Pseudomonadati; Pseudomonadota; Gammaproteobacteria; Enterobacterales; Enterobacteriaceae.
CCACGCCGUAAACGAUGUCGACUUGGAGGUUGUGCCCUUGAGGCGUGGCUUCCGGGGCUAACGCGUUAAGUCGACCGCCUGGGGAGUACGGCCGCAAGGUUAAAACUCAAAUGAAUUGACGGGGGCCCGCACAAGCGGUGGAGCAUGUGGUUUAAUUCGAUGCAACGCGAAGAACCUUACCUGGUCUUGACAUCCACAGAACUUUCCAGAGAUGGAUUGGUGCCUUCGGGAACUGUGAGACAGGUGCUGCAUGGCUGUCGUCAGCUCGUGUUGUGAAAUGUUGGGUUAAGUCCCGCAACGAGCGCAACCCUUAUCCUUUGUUGCCAGCGGUCCGGCCGGGAACUCAAAGGAGACUGCCAGUGAUAAACUGGAGGAAGGUGAGGAUGACGUCAAGUCAUCAUGGCCCUUACGACCAGGGCUACACACGUGCUACAAUGGCGCAUACAAAGAGAAGCGACCUCGCGAGAGCAAGCGGACCUCAUAAAGUGCGUCGUAGUCCGGAUUGGAGUCUGCAACUCGACUCCAUGAAGUCGGAAUCGCUAGUAAUCGUGGAUCAGAAUGCCACGGUGAAUACGUUCCCGGGCCUUGUACACACCGCCCGUCACACCAUGGGAGUGGGUUGCAAAAGAAGUAGGUAGCUUAACCUUCGGGAGGGCGCUUACCACUUUGUGAUUCAUGACUGGG